UAAUACGGAGGGUGCAAGCGUUAUCCGGAAUCACUGGGUUUAAAGGGUGCGUAGGCGGCGUUAUAAGUCAGGAGUGAAAUUCCACGGCUCAACUGUAGGAACUGCUUUUGAUACUGUAAUGCUUGAACCAAGAUGAGGUAGGCGGAAUGUGACAUGUAGCGGUGAAAUGCAUAGAUAUGUCAUAGAACACCAAUUGCGAAGGCAGCUUACUAGACUUGAGUUGACGCUGAGGCACGAAAGCGUGGGGAGCAAACAGG
This 257-nucleotide ribosomal RNA is filed under the name uncultured bacterium. Its description in RNAcentral is "partial 16S ribosomal RNA". It matches the Rfam family "Bacterial small subunit ribosomal RNA", at positions 521 to 776 of the family's 1533-position model. The record is from RNAcentral.